RNAcentral lists this ribosomal RNA (229 nucleotides) under uncultured bacterium. Its description in RNAcentral is "partial 16S ribosomal RNA". It matches the Rfam family "Bacterial small subunit ribosomal RNA", at positions 568 to 796 of the family's 1533-position model. The record is from RNAcentral.
UGCGUAGGCGGAAUAUUAAGUCAGUGGUGAAAUCCGGCGGCUCAACCGUAGAACUGCCAUUGAUACUGAUAUUCUUGAAUGUAGUUGAGGUAGGCGGAAUGUGUAAUGUAGCGGUGAAAUGCUUAGAUAUUACACAGAACACCGAUUGCGAAGGCAGCUUACUAAACUAUGAUUGACGCUGAGGCACGAAAGCGUGGGUAGCGAACAGGAUUAGAUACCCUGGUAGUCC